This 2474-nucleotide long non-coding RNA is filed under the name Homo sapiens (human). RNAcentral's name for it is "HSALNT0368475". The record is from RNAcentral. Lineage: Eukaryota; Metazoa; Chordata; Mammalia; Primates; Hominidae.
GUAGACACGGUGCUCACAACUAGGAAGACCUUCCUGCCCCAGAGCUGCCUCUGUCUUUCCAGAAAAACAGGAGAUCUUUUCCUAUUAAGGCAAAGAGACAGGGUCUUGCUAUCUUGUCCAGGCUGGUCUCAAAAUCCUGGGCUCAAGCAAUGCUCCUCCUUUGACCUCUCAAAAUGCUGGAAUUACAGAGACUACACUGAGGAGUAUGACAAGUUUUCAGCUUGAGAAGGGCUUGCAUUCUGUAGGAGAAAUGAACAAACAGCAUUAAUGUUGAUGAUGCAACAUGGAACAAGUGCUAUGACAGAGAUUAAAAAACAAGUGCUUGUUCAUUUACUGGAAAGACAGAAGACCGAUUCAGCCUGGAAAGAAAAAUCCCUGAGAAGAUGGUAUGGACUAAACAAAUAAAUGGGAUUUUAACAAAUAAAGAAUAAAAAUUAUUUUAUUUUAUAAAGGGAGGCACAAUAAUCUAAUCUGAAUAUGAUUUGGAUGUGAGUAAGGGUUGCAGGAGGUGAGUAAGGGUUGCAGGAGAUGAGGGAGGGAGUAUGUAGAUAUCUGGGGUAAAAGCAUUUCUGGCUGAGAAGACAGCAAGUGCAAAUGCCCUGAGACAGGAUCAGGGCUUUUGAGGAAUCACAAAAAAACCCAAUGAUCUUGGAAUAGAAUGUGCAAGCCAAAGUGGGUCCAAGACCAGAUCAGAGUGAUGGGAAGCGGAGGGGGGCAGAAUAUGUAGAGCCUGGGAUGUCAUUGUAAGAACCUGGGCUUUUACUCUGAGUAAAAUAUGAAGUCAUUAGAACUUUUGGAACUAAAAAGGGGCAGAACUGUCUCUCUCACUGCUGUGUUGAGAAUAGAAUGAAAGGAUCAAGGACAUAAGUCGGAAGACCAGUCAGGAGACUAUGGCGGUAUUCCAGGUAAAACAUGAUGUGUCUCAGACAAGGGUGGUGGCAAAACUAGUGGGAUUCUUAAAUUUUGGAUGUGGGAUCAAUAAAAAUGUGUUGAUGGAUUGGAAGCAUAAGAGAAAGGGCACCCAGGAAUGACCUUAAGUUCUUGGCCUGAGCAACGGGGGAAAGGAGGUUGCCAAUAAUAACUGAGAACCUGAAGCUUGGAGGAGGAGUGAUACAGGGGACGAGCAGGAGCUCAGCUAUAGACACGCUAAAUUUGAGAUACGUUUUAGUCAUUGUUUGGUGAUAUCAGGUUGGCAAUUGGAUGUACUGGUCUAGAGUCCAGGGUGGGGUCUGGGCUGAAAAUGCAUACUUGGACAUCAUCAAUUUUUGACAAGAUGGCUUUAGAGCAUCAUAAUACACAUUUAGUUGAUUGUAGAAGGAAUAUAGAAUUGUGAUGCCAAAGUUUGUGGCUUGCUCCACCAUGAUGAAUUGCUUUCUAAAUGAUUUUAAUGUUCUCUGUGUUAUAAUGAUGUGGAAUGUUUAUUGGAAUUGCACAUUUGACCGUUAACUUACUUAAAGUGGUAAAACAUUUUUACUCUAAAAAUAAAAAAUUAAAACAAUCACACAUAGCCUACUGCCUAAGUGAUAAUCAUUGCUAAAAGUCUGCUAUAUUUCUUUCCCAUCUUUUUUCUUUGAGUGUUUCUAAAUGUGAAUUUUCUAAAAAGUCUAACAAAAUAAGUUGUUGAUAAGACAAAGCUGAGUUUUCUUUUUUUCAUCAACUUUUAUUUUAAGUUGCGGGGUACAUGUGCAGGAUGUGCAGGUUUCUUACAUAGGUAAACUUGUGCCAUAGUGAUUUGCUGCACAGAUCAACCCAUCACCUAAGUAUCAAGCCCAAUAGGCAUUACCUAUCCUUCCUGAUGCUCUUCCCCUACCCUGACAGGCCCUAGUGUAUGUUGUUCCCUGCAGUGUGUCCACAUGUUCUCAUCUUUCAGCUCCCACUUAUAUGUGAGAACAUGUGGUGUUUGGUUCUCUAUUCCUGCAUUGGUUUGCUGAGGAUAAUGUCUUCCAGCACCACCCUUGCCCUUGCAAAGGACAUGAUCUCAUUCUUUUUUAUGGCUGCAUAGUAUUCCAUGGUGUACAUGUACUACAUUUUCUUUAUCCAGUCUAUCAUUGCUGGGCAUUUGGGUUAAUUCCAUGUCUUUGCUAUUGUGAAUAGUGCUGCAAUGAGCAUACCUAUGCAUGUAUCUUUAUAAUAGAAUGAUUUACAUUCCUUUGGGUAUAUACCCAGUAAUGGGAUUAUUGUGUCAAAUGGUAUUUCUGCUUCUAGAUCUUUGAGGAAUCACCAGACUGUCUUCCACAAUGGUUGAACUAAUUUACAUUCCCACCAACAGUGUAAAAGCAUUCUUAUUUCACUGCAACCUCACCAGUAUCUGUUAUUUCUUGACUUUUUAAUAAUUGCCAUUAUUGCUGACAUGAGAUGGUAUCUCAUUGUGGUUUUGAUUUGCAUUUCUCUAAUGAUCAGUGAUGUUGAGCUUUUUUCACGUUUGUUGGCCACAUGAAUAUACAAAGCUGAGUUUUUUGCUGGCAAGAGAGAUC